GUCCUCUCUGGGAGACAUCAGCAAAAUUAAACAUGGCAAAGGUAUCUGAUGCUUUAAUUAGCUGCAACCCAUUCAAGUAGAUCCUCAAAAGUGGAGACCAGUGUUUCUAUGUGAAAUCUAUUGUUGGGGUGGAUUUUUCCUAUUCAUCUCCCAUUCAUAGCCCACUCUUUUCCUCUCUUCAUUAAUUAUAGCUAUCACAAGUAGUCCAAUGCAAUCUACUUACUUUCUAAUCUCAUCCACUUUGAGAUAUUCAACAAAUAUCUUCCCACCAGAAAAUUUCUUUUCCUUCCUUCCUUUCUCUUUCUUUUUUCUUUCUCUCUUUCUUUCUCUUUCUUUCUUUCUUUCUUUCUUUCUUUCUUUCUUUCUUUCUUUCUUUCUUUCUCUCUCUUUCUUUCUAUCUUCUUUCCUUCCUUCUAUCCCUCCUUCCUUCCUUUCUUUUUAAACCUGUACUUUCUCUCAAUAUAAUUUCUAAAACAGAAGAGUGGCAAGGGCUAUGCAAUAAGUUAAAUGACUUGCCCAGAGUCACACAGCUAGGAAAUAUCUUGGAUCAGAUUUGAAUACAGCUGCUCACAACUCCAGGCCUGAUGUUCUGUCCACUUUUCUACCAAUUGCCUUUACCUGAAAAUUGAAUUUUGAGAUUGCAGAUGACUACUGAAAGACUCCAGAAGUCAUCUAGUUCAGUUUCCACAUCAAAAAUUAAAGAAUAUCUGAAAUGUAUAGAACUGAAUACUUAUAGUUUAUAUCCCCUCAAACUGGGAUUAUGAAAACUACUCCUUGGUUCAUGAUAUAAUUUGGGUCAGCAACCAUUCAAAACAAUAGUCCAUGAGCUCUUACCAUUGCUUUUUAAAAUUUUUUUUGCUAAAUCAAACUAGGCAACACAUUGUUUCAAGGGGGAAAAAAACAGUUAAAAGAGAAGAACAAGUUAAAUCCCAAAGAAAACCCCUUCCAUUCUGCCAAGGGCACACUCACAGUCUCAUAAAUUCCCAUGCCAUUAAUGGGUGAAAGAACAUACUCUAUCACAAUAAUUUUUUGAUCUCUGAAUUUCAAAGAAGCAAAAGGUCGUUAGAAUCCCUAAGAAGUCAUUUAGUCAGGACAGCUAGGUGGAUCAGUGAACAGAGAACCAAGCCUGGAGACUAGAGGUCCUGAGUUCAAAUAUGGCCUCAGAUACUUCCUAGCUAUAUAACCUUAGUCAAGUCACUUAGCCCCAAUUGCCUAGCCUUUAGAAC
RNAcentral lists this long non-coding RNA (1226 nucleotides) under Monodelphis domestica (gray short-tailed opossum). RNAcentral's name for it is "lncRNA (ENSMODG00000048766.1)". Lineage: Eukaryota; Metazoa; Chordata; Mammalia; Didelphimorphia; Didelphidae. The record is from RNAcentral.